ACGAACGCUUGCGGCAUGCCUCACACCUGCCAGUCGAGCGAGACCUUCGGGUCUAGUGGCGCACGGGUGCGUAACGCGUGGGAACCUGCCCUUAGGUUCGGAAUAACUCCCCGAAAGGGGUGCUAAUACCGGAUAAUGUCUUCGGACCAAAGAUUUAUCGCCUUUGGAUUGGCCCGCGUUGGAUUAGCUAGUUGGUAGGGUAAAAGCCUACCAAGGCGACGAUCCAUAGCUGGUCUGAGAGGAUGAUAAGCCACACUGGGACUGAGACACGGCCCAGACUCCUACGGGAGGCAGCAGUGGGGAAUAUUGGACACUGGGCGAAAGCCUGAUCCAGCAAUGCCGCGUGAGUGAUGAAGGCCUUAGGGUUGUAAAGCUCUUUUACCCGGGAUGAUAAUGACAGUACCGGGAGAAUAAGCUCCGGCUAACUACGUG
This 432-nucleotide ribosomal RNA is filed under the name uncultured bacterium. RNAcentral describes it as "partial 16S ribosomal RNA". It matches the Rfam family "Bacterial small subunit ribosomal RNA", at positions 29 to 507 of the family's 1533-position model. The record is from RNAcentral.